This is a non-coding RNA of Monodelphis domestica (gray short-tailed opossum), 450 nucleotides long. The record is from the annotation of a RefSeq genome assembly. NCBI's taxonomy places the organism in Eukaryota, Metazoa, Chordata, Mammalia, Didelphimorphia, Didelphidae.
AUGGAGACUCUGUCCCAGCUGCUCUUUGGGCUCCUCAUGCUUUGGGUCCCAGGUUCCAAAGGAGAAGUUGUGCUGACCCAGUCUCCAGCCUCAGUGUCUGUGAGCCCAGGAGAGAGAAUCACCAUCAGCUGCCAGGCCAGUCAGAGUGUCAAACACAGUAAUGGAAAAACUUAUUUUGACUGGAUCCAGCACAAGCCUGGACAGUCUCCUCGGCUACUCAUUUACCAGGUUUCCAAGCUGGAAUCAGGAAUCCCUGCCAGGUUCAGUGGCAGUGGUGCUGACAGGGAUUUCACCCUCACAAUCAGUGAUGUCAGUGCUGAAGAUGGGGCAGAUUAUUACUGUGGACAAAGAUCUUUUACUCCUCCCACAGUGCUACAGGGGCCAAGCCUGACUCCUUUGGACUUCAGGGUCCACCUUGCUAUCUACUGCCACCUGCUGGUUAGCUGCUGA